This is a non-coding RNA of Methanohalophilus mahii DSM 5219, 2925 nucleotides long. NCBI's taxonomy places the organism in Archaea, Methanobacteriati, Methanobacteriota, Methanomicrobia, Methanosarcinales, Methanosarcinaceae. The record is from Rfam.
GGAUAAUGGCAUUUAUGCCAGCAGGUGAAUGGCUCGGCUCAAGGACCGAUGAAGGACGUGUCAAGCUGCGAUAUGCCUCGGCUAGGCGCAUGAAGCCUAUGAACCGAGGAUCUCCUAAUGAGACCUCUUGACCUUAAAUGGUCGAUCAGUAAUGAUCGGGAACGUUCCGAAUUGAAACAUCUUAGUAGGAACCGGAAAAGAAAUCGAAGAGAUGCCGCUAGUAACGGCGAGUGAACACGGCACAGUUCAAACCGAAUCCCUCUGGAAACAGAAGGGAAAUGUGGUGUGGUAGGACUUUUCCAAGGAUCCUUUCUCACUGACCCCGAAUUUGACUGGAACGUCAAACCAUAGAGUGUGAUAGUCACGUAGGACUAAGUGAACGGAUCUGGAAUUGUUCCAGAGUACCGUGCGUUGGAUAUCGCGCGGGAACCCGGGAGGCAUCAACUUCCAAAACUAAAUAUCUCUUGAGACCGAUAGUGAACUAGUAGGGUGACCGAAAACUGAAAAGUACCCCAAAAAGGGAGGUUCAAAGUGCCUGAAACCUGUUGGUUAUGGAACGAUAUGGCAUGAAAGGAUCUGCGAAAUGAAGGAAACAGUCGCGAGGCUGGUGUACGAGUUUCGUUGCCGAUGUCAUAUCUUACGUUUUGAAGAACGGGCCAGGGAGUGUAUUUCAAUGGCGAAGGCUAACCGAGAGGGGAGCCGAAGCGAAAGCAACAAGCAUGCAGCCUUCGGGCAAGAUGCGGCGUAUACAAGUGCGUGGAGUCAUUGGAAUACGACCCGAAGCCGGGUGAUCUAGGCGUGGGCAGGUUGAAGCGUGGCGAAAGCUACGUGGAGGACCGCAAGCGGUACUGACCUGCAAAUCGUUCGUGUGACCUGCGUCUUGGAGUGAAAGGCUAAUCAAACCCGGCAUCAGCUGGUUCCUUCCAAAACAUGUCGUAGCAUGACCUAACCGGAGAUAGUCGGUGGUGUAGAGCACUGAUUGGGGAUCCCGGGGGAGAAAUCCCUCGCUCCCCUGUCAAACUCCAAAACUACCGUCGUCUAAGAAAGUUGGAGUCCGGGCUACUGGGGUAAGCUUGUAGUCCGUAAGGGAGAGAACCCAGCCCGUGGUUAAGGUCCCUAAGUGUCGACUAAGUGUUAAAGAUAAAGGGUGUCCCAGGCCCUAAACAGCUGGAAGGUUAGCUUAGAAGCAGCUACCCUUUAAAGAGUGCGUAACAGCCCACCAGUCGAGGUCUGGGGCCCCGAAAAUGGACGGGGCUCAAGUCGACCACCGAUACCACGGAGUACCGAAAGGUAAUCUUGUAGGAAGGCGUUGCGUUCGGGCAGAAGCAGGGUUGUGAAGUCCUGUGGACCGUACGGAAACGAAAAUCCUGGUAAUAGUAGCAGCAUAGUCAGGUGAGAAUCCUGACCGCCGAAGGGGCCAGGUUUCCUCGGCAAUGAUCGUCAGCCGAGGGUUAGUCGGUCCUAAGACGUACCGUAAUUCGAGUACGCCAAAAGGGAAACAGGUUAAUAUUCCUGUACCGUUUAGCAUUAAAACCAACGUCUCAGGGCAGGUUGAGCAGCGUUGUCGCGCUGUCUAAGCAUCGAAACCCGUGGAGAGCCGUAAUGGCGAGAAGCGGGCGAAUAUGUUAUUGCGAAAGUCAACUGCACCCCGGGACCCGUGAAAAGGAAGCUAAACGACCGUACCAAGAUCUGACACUGGUGCCCCUAGCUGAAAAGGCUAAGGCGUGUCGGAAUUAAUCUGGCUAAGGGAAUUCGGCAAAUUGGCUCCGUAACUUCGGGAGAAGGAGUGCCUGCCAUGAAGAUGGCAGGUCGCAGUGACCAGGGAGCUCUAACUGUCUAAUACCAACAUAGGAGAUCGCAAACCCGAAAGGGCUAGUACGAUCUCUGAAUCCUGCCCAGUGCGGGUACCUGAAACUUCGGUCCAACGGAAAGAAGGGCCCGUAAACGGCGGGGGUAACUAUGACCCUCUUAAGGUAGCGUAGUACCUUGUCGCUUAAUUGGCGACUCGCAUGAAUGGAUCAAUGAGAGCUCUACUGUCCCUAGCCAGAAUCCGGUGAAGCUUACAUUCUAGUGCAAAGUCUAGAGACCUCUAGGGGGAAGUGAAGACCCCGUGGAGCUUUACUGCAGCCUGUCGUUGGGUUGUGAUUUCGGAUGUACAGUGUAGGUAGGAGGCAUCGAAGCCCGUGCGCCAGCAUGGGUGGAGCCAACAAUGGGACACUACCCUUCUGAAGUCGCGACCCUAACUCCGAAAAGGAGGACCCCGAUAGGUGGGCAGUUUGCCUGGGGCGGGACGCCCUUGAAAAGAUAUCAAGGGCGCGCAAUGGUUGACUCAAGUGGGUCGGAAACCUGCUGAAGAGUGCAAGAGCAUAAGUCAGCCUGACGCGAUUUAGCAUAGCAAUGGAUCGCGAGACGAAAGUCGGUUCUAGCGAACCUUUAUGUCCUGCUUGAUGCGGGCUAAAGCUGACAGAAAAGUUACCCCGGGGAUAAUUGUGUCGUUGCCGGCAAGAGCACAUAUCGACCCGGCAGCUUGCUACCUCGAUGUCGGUUCUUUCCAUCCUGGCCGUGCAGCAGCGGCCAAGGGUGAGGUUGUUCGCCUAUUAAAGGAGAUCGUGAGCUGGGUUUAGACCGUCGUGAGACAGGUCGGUUACUAUCUACUAGAGGUGUAUGUGGUCUGAAGGUAAGUUGCUCUUAGUACGAGAGGAACAGGGCAACGGCGUCUCUGGUCGAUCGGUUGUCUGACAAGGCAGUGCCGAGCAGCUACGCGCCAAAGAAUAAGAGCUGAAAGCAUCUAAGCUCGAAAUCCAACCUGAAAAGAGACCACUGUAAGGAUACCGGUAAAAGACCGGUUUAAUAGGAUCGGGAUGUAAGCACUAAGGAAACGAGGUGUUAAGUCCGCGGUUACUAAUAAUCCGUGCCGCUUCCAAU